AUACGUAGGUGACAAGCGUUAUCCGGAUUUACUGGGCGUAAAGGGCGUGUAGGCGGUCUUGCAAGUCAGAAGUGAAAUUCCUGAGCUCAACUCGGGCGCUGCUUCUGAAACUGCAGGACUUGAGUGCUGGAGGGGAUAGCGGAAUUCCUAGUGGAGCGGUAAAAUGCGCAGAUAUUAGGAAGAACACCGGUGGCGAAGGCGGCUAUCGGGACAGUAACUGACGCUGAGGCGCGAAAGCGUGGGGAGCAAACAGGAUUAGAUCCCCGGGUAGUCCACGCCGUAAACGAUGAAUACUAGGUGUAGGGGGUAUCGACUCCCUCUGUGCCGCAGUUAACACAAUAAGUAUUCCGCCUGGGGAGUACGGCCGCAAGGUUGAAACUCAAAGGAAUUGACGGGG
Molecule: ribosomal RNA, 397 nt
Filed under: uncultured bacterium
Lineage: Bacteria
Description: partial 16S ribosomal RNA
Rfam family: Bacterial small subunit ribosomal RNA
Source: RNAcentral